CGACCGGCGCACGGGUGAGUAACGCGUAUGCAACCUGCCUGAUACCGGGGUAUAGCCCAUGGAAACGUGGAUUAACACCCCAUAGUACUUUUAUCCUGCAUGGGAUGUGAGUUAAAUGUUCAAGGUAUCGGAUGGGCAUGCGUCCCAUUAGUUAGUUGGCGGGGUAACAGCCCACCAAGACGAUGAUAGGUAGGGGUUCUGAGAGGAAGGUCCCCCACAUUGGUACUGAGACACGGACCAA
RNAcentral lists this ribosomal RNA (241 nucleotides) under uncultured bacterium. RNAcentral describes it as "partial 16S ribosomal RNA". It matches the Rfam family "Bacterial small subunit ribosomal RNA", at positions 92 to 334 of the family's 1533-position model. The record is from RNAcentral.